Molecule: RNA transcript, 9854 nt
Organism: Triplophysa dalaica
Lineage: Eukaryota; Metazoa; Chordata; Actinopteri; Cypriniformes; Nemacheilidae
Gene name: tripartite motif-containing protein 16-like
Exons: 8
Source: RefSeq, a predicted model, not a curated record
CCGGAACUGUCUGUGAAAGUGAAAGUAAGACAGACGGAGAGAAACACCCGGACAGGUGAACACAGACACACCUGUUUCUCAAACACACAACCAGGAAACUGGAUUGAGAAAGUGAAAGUGUUGUUGAGCUGUUGGUGUGUGUCAAUGAGAAGAAAUGGCAGAAGCGAGUUUUUCAGAGGAUCAGUUGAUGUGUUCAGUGUGUUUGGAUCUACUGAAGGAUCCAGUGACGCUUCACUGUGGACACACUUACUGUAUGAGAUGUAUCACAGACUGCUGGGAUCAGGACGAUCAGACGGGAAUCUACAGCUGCCCUCAGUGCAGACAAACCUUCAGCCCUCGGCCUGUUCUAGGGAAGAAUGUGGUGUUUGCUGAAAUGGUGGAGAAACUGAAGAAGACCAAACUUUCUGAUGUGUGUUACGCUGGAGCUGGAGAUGUGGAGUGUGACGUCUGUACUGGAAGAAAACACAAAGCCAUCAAAUCCUGUCUGACGUGUCUGAAGUCUUACUGUCAAACUCAUCUUGAACGUCAUGAGGAAUUUCUCUCUGGAGAUUCACACAAAAUAGUGAGUGUGACUAGAAAACUGAAGGAGAUGAUCUGCCCUCAACAUCAGAAGCUUCUGGAGGUUUUCUGUCGUACUGAUCAGCAGUGCAUUUGUUUGAUGUGUUUGAUGGAUAAACAUAAAAACCACGACACAGUUUCAGCGGCAGCACAGAGGACAGAUGAAGAGAAACACUUGAAGGAGACGCAGAGAAAGUUUCAGGAGAAGAUCCAUCAGAGAGAGAAAGAUGUUCAGGAGCUGAGAGACGCUGUGGAGGGUCAUAAGCGGUGUGCACAGACAGCAGUGGAGGACUGUGAGAUGAUGUGGACUGAAGUGAUGUCAUUGAUUGAGAGAAGACGCUCUGAGGUGACACAGCUGAUCAGAGAUCAGGAGACGGCUGCAGUGAGUCGAGCUGAAGGACUCUUGGAGCGACUCAAGCAGGAGAUUGAUGAUCUGAGGAGGAGAGACGCUGAGCUGGACAAGAUUUCACACACAGAUGAUCACAUCACUUUCCUACAGAGUUUUCAGUCUCUCUCUGCACCUCCUGAAUCUCCAGACGACAUCAGUGUCACUUUCCUCUUUUCUUUUGAUGCUGAGAGAGAAUCUGUCCGUCAGCUGAGAGACAAACUGCAGGAUUUCUGCACACAGCACAUGAGAAAGAUCUCCGUCACACACACCAUCACUGAGCCCAGGAUCAGAGAGCACUUCCUACAAUAUUCUCAUCAGUUGACUCUGGAUCUAAACACAGUGAAUGAAUAUCUCAGUCUGUCUGAGAGAAACACAAAGAUCACAAACACUGGAACACCCCAGCAGUAUCCUGAUCAUCCAGACAGAUUUAAUGUGUAUCAGGUGUUGUGUAGAGAGAGUGUGUGUGGACGCUGUUACUGGGAGAUUGAGAGGACUGGUGUGAGUGUGUGUAUAUCAGUGUCAUAUAAGAGCAUCAGGAGGAAGGGAGGGAGUGAGUGUUGGUUUGGAUCUAAUGAUCAGUCCUGGAGUUUGAUCUGCUCUGAGUCCAGUUACACAUUCAGACACAAUAAGAUUGAGACUAAACUCCCUGUAAAGAUCAGAUGUGAUAGAAUAGGAGUGUAUGUGGAUGAGAGAGCAGGAAUUCUGUCCUUCUACAGCGUCUCUGACACAAUGACCCUCAUCCACAGCAUCAGCACCACAUUCACUCAUCCUCUCUAUCCUGGAUUUUAUGUUUAUAAUAAUUCAUCAGUGAAACUGUGUGAUCUAUAGAUUAUAGAGAGAUUCUACACGUCAGAUAUUAACAUGAGUAAAAUCUGCCUAUAUGAGGUGUAUAAACAAUUCCAGUUUAAAGUUUGAAAUCAUUUAUUUUAUUACUUUCAAAAAGCUACUCUUAAUGUAAAUAAUCAAAUACAGAGUUAAUGAAAAGAACAUAUAGACAGACAUAACAAGCGUUUCAUUAAAUAUGUAUAUAUAUUAUACAAUAUUAACAUAUGAUGAGUAAAUUAAGAAGUGAUUUUUGCUUUGCUGACUAAUGUAGUUAACUGAUGUUAACCAAUGAAAUCUUAUUGUGAAGUGUUAAAGAAUGCAAUAUAUCAGAUAAAACAUGUUUAGACUGUUUAAAAUGAUGAUAAAUUGGAGAAGUCAUACUACAUAUUUGGCAUAAGAGACAAAACUGUGACGAGGAAAAUGACCCUGGACAUCUACAAGAGAUCUGACAAUCUGCAUGAACAAAGUGACGUAUCAGUGAAUACAUCUGAUCGCUAAAGAUCAGUUUGUUUGUUAGAGAUAAGAUGAGAGAGUUCUGUGAGGUUAUUGUUGUCUGCUCUGCUAGAUUGACCAAAUUCUUCUAGACUUUAUACUUUAAGAGACAACAGACAGGACUGCUCGCAGAGAGAUUGAUCAAAUAUUUAAAUUCUGUGUCAGAAAUGAACAUCUAAGCAUGUACUCUUUCUCAGAAUGAGUCAAAUUUAACUUCUUGUUAUGAGAAGAGGAUUCCUGUUCAAAGAAACGACUCGCAUCCCUUUCUACACCAUUAUGUAUCAACAGAUCAAUAACACACCGAAGGUGCUUUUCAUCUUAAAUUGAACACGACCACUGACCACAUAUGUAAAUCACUUUUAUUAAAACAUUUCAAUCUCAAAUUCCUGAAGAUCUUAAACAGUUAAAUCUUAGUGACAGAAGUCUUAAUGGCUUUAGAUAGAACAAAACUCAAAUCUCGCAGACAGAGUGCCUGAGCCCACUGUGACAUGGAUCGCCAGCACGGGACAGAGCAACCGAGCCUACAGUCGCCCUGGAGCUAGAGCCCCGAGGCGAGAUUGAUCAGAUCUAUGAGCUGGCAACAUCGCCUGCCGUGGGAGUCUUGCCCCACCCAUACUCUCGCAGGUGAGGGUGAGCUGCAAGAUGCCUCUGGACUAUUUGACUGGUCUAAUUAGAUAGACCUUUGGCUGCUCCCUUCCCUGCUGGUCCCAUCCAGCAUGUCUACGUCCCCGCCGGUCCCGUCCGGCCCACCCCCAGCAGCCAAUCUCCACUCACCAUUCCCCAGGAAGCUCCUGCCCUCCCUCUGCCUCCAUCAGCCCGAGAGUCAGCCCUGGAGGUGUUGGCGACUGGUGACCCCUCAUCGAGCCAGCGUCGUUGGGUCGGAUGAGCCUCUUGGUCUCCAGCUGCCAACUACCCCUGAAGGACAGUAUCCCAUGUCUCCACCCUCAGCCGUCGAGACCCAUACUCUACCUUGGUCCUCCGACCCAGCAGCUACAUCUCAGGUCCUACCUCCCUCACCUUCGCUGUGGCCCGUCACCCCUUCAGUAGGCACCCUUGUCCCUCCAGCUCUGCCUUGGUCAGUCAUCGACCAUCCGUCCCCUUGGGGCUCCUCUCCUUCUGCUACGACUCGUCUCUCUGCCCCUUCGGCUCUGUCAGGCUCUUCUUUCCCUCCAGCUCCGCCUUCAUCCUCCUUCACUCUGGCUUCGCCGUGGUCUUCCGGAUCCCCGCGUGAGCCUUGGUUGCCUUAGCCAUCGAAGACGCCUCAUCCCUCCAAAGCCUCGGUGUCACCUUCCCGUUGUCAAACCCUCGUCCACCGCCUGAGACCCCUCCCCUCCUCCCCUGUGGGUUCGUUGUGGCGCGAGGACCCACCUGCAGGAGGGGGAGGUGCUGUAACAUCUCCACCGCUGUCUGCCAACUCCUAAACACUUUCACCAGUGUUGGAGAGUAGCUAAUUACAAAAAAAAUUCUUCAAAAUGCUGCAGUUGAAAAUCCAUAGUGUACAUAUAUUGCAGGAUGGCCCCAAAUGAAACCCACCAUCCGUUUUUCUACUUAUUUCAAAUAAUGUUUCUAUAAUCCAUUUUAGUGGAGAAUCGUUUUCCAAAAUGCUUUCAAAAACCAUACUUUACCUACUUAGUACCUGUUCAAAUCCAUGGGUACUGUAUUAAAACCAUGAUUUGCCUAUAUUAAUCAAUACACACAAACAUUUUUACAACCAACAAAAACUUGGCAAAUUUUCGUAAGACUACAAAUUAUAGACAAACUACUAAAUUGCAUGAACGGUUUUAUUUGCAGGAUAAAGGUCUAAAAGGCAUUACAUAAUAAAUAAUUAAAAGUUAAAGAUAGAGACAUUUUUUUUCACAUUAUACAGCAAUAAUAAUGCAAACAUUCUUAGAAAAAAUGCCUCAAUUAUGACAAAAACAAGAUAUUCUAAACGUAAGAGAAGAAAUAUUUUAUUUUACCUGGAAUGUACCGUAAACCCCUCAAUAGCCGCGCAUCCGAAUCUAAACGGCGGCUGGUUUGACCCGCAGUGAUUAAUUGCUCGUGGCCUUAUCUGUCCAAGUUCUUGUCUCUUAAAGAUGCAAACAGUAACGGUUACACGUUUUCAUGUAUUCGGUUCAAAAUCAAAAAAUAAAACGCAGUCUGCAGAAGUCGAAAACUUCAAGCACAAAUGUAAGGAAACACAUACAGGUGAGUUAUUUUGCCCUACAUUUGUUCUUUCUGUCUACAUUUUGCAAACUUGAGAUAAAUUUGAGAACAAAUUUAACUUGUGUACUGUGUAGUUUACAAAAUAAAACCACACUGAAAUCAGAAUCAGCUGCUUUGUAACAAUGAAAAUUGUAAAAAGCGCUAUAUAAAUAAAGUUGAGUUGAGAAUCGCAAAACAUUUUUUCUUAAAAUAUUUUUCAUUAACAAUAAUUCAGUUAUUCGUAAUAUACAAUGACACUCUAAAAUUAAAGUAGUUUCAAAAUAAAUGAAUUAAAAUUUAAUCAAUAAAUGAAUUAAAAUUAAUAUUGUUAUAAAUGACAUAUAAAACAAAUGGUUAAGCUAUAUUAUAACCAAACACAGAUCGGAAGUUAACAUUGUGCCAGGCUUGUGCAUCCGAAGAAACCAUCACAGUUCAACUUGACAAGUUUUUUGUGAAGACACCUAUGGCCUGUGGUGUACGUGUCAUGUUUAGUUUCAGCAAACUCUUGAGUUUUCAAGCCCAAGAAGGUGGGUUGGUUUUGAACGGGUUUCAUUGCCAUGGUAACUUACUGCUCUGGAGCAAGUUAAAAAGAGUUCACCGAACUUGAACUUUGGAACAUAAUUGGUGCUUUUCAAUUUGCAACCUUGUUUCCUCGCUCUUUCGUCCUCCAUCCUGUGACCCAGAAACCGAUCGACCACAGCCAUCUUUAAGGACGUCUCAGUUCUCUAAUUGCACUGGGAGGAGGCGAGGAUCAAGGAGAGAGGAGGCUUUCUGAUGAGUCAUGAGCGAGGAUACACAUGUGUUUCCUUUGCGGAAGUGUUUUAUCCACUAUAGUUAAACCUGACGCAGCAUUGUCCAGGUCACUGAGCUGAAACGUUUGGAAAGUUUGAGCUGUGAAGCAGUUGUUUACCGGGCCGUUUCUCCAUUGGCGUGGACCAGCUGAAAGACGCAGUUUGUGAAGAACGGAGCGCAUUUGAUGGAUUUAUUCUGAGGUGUGUAGCAAGACUUUAGGACCAAGGUUUAAAAGAGUUUUGAAGCCGCUCUCAACACUGCGCAGCGGCCCCUCUCCUCCUCAUCGGAUUAUUGGCUGUUUCCAGCAUUUAUGCUGUGGAUUAUUCCAUGGAUACUCGUCGGGCACACAUCAUCUUUUCAUCCACAGACACCCGGCUUCUGGGUACUAGCUAAAGCUAGCGCUAGCUUUAUGCUGGCGCACAACACCACAGCUCUAUUCUACCGCCGACAUCCACUCACUCUAUAACCACCACCGUUCGGACUGCAUUGACAUCCUCCGAGAAACUGGACUACUUCCCCUAUCCUCCUUACAGGGGCUCUGGUCGUAUGUUCAAUUACAACUUUUCAACCCCAAACUCUAUUCCAUCCAUCUGGUCCUGUUUGCGCACUACAACUUUAUCAUUACGUCAUCACAAAAAACGAUGCGCGCACCUCUCUAAUGUUCGCCCCCUUCCCCGGUCCUCUCAACCCAUCACGAAGCAACAUCACCUGAAACUGGCUUUGCUCAACACCUGCUCACUCAACAAAAAAAGCCUCAUUUUAUAUGAAAUCAUAACCGACAAUAACCUGAAUUUCCUUUGUAUCACAGAAACUUGGCUCAAACCUAUGGACUAUUUCUCACUCAAUGAAACCACACCCACAGGAUAUACAUACAUGGAAAAACCCUGUUUUGAGGGGCGUGGAGGUGGUGUCGCUGCAGUGUACAGAAAAGGCAUUAAAACAUCGACCAUCUCCAUCCCUGCUGCUGAAUCAUUCAAACACAACUCUUUUAAACUUACUGUACACUCCUGACCUGCACAAAAUGAAAUCUUGUCAGCGUCAGCUUGAAAGACUCCAUAGGAAAACUGUAUUAACUUUUCAUCAACAAUCCUUCACAGAUUACCCUCAGCAGUAUAAGGAAGCUCUUAAUGUAAAUGUCUUAUAAAUCAAAUUAAUAUUUUCCUACACAGUUUAUAAGAUAUUUAAUAGUUUUAUUUUAUAUAUGUUAAAAAGACAUUAUAGUUCGACAAUGUCACUUUGUCUGUUCUGCUUUUAUUUUGAAAAGCGCCGUUUUUUUUUUUUGACGCUUAAUCUUCCCGCUACACUCUUUUCACUUGGUAGUGCUCACGUUUCGUCUGAAGAACGGUAAAAACUUACAACCAUUUUAGUUAUUUAUCAUGCUCAUUCAUUUGAAUCUUGUAAAGAUUGCAAAGAGUUUACAUGGUGAUUUACUUUAUUAUUUUGUACUGCUCGUACAUGUUAUUAUUUCUAAGAGCUCCGAACUGUGAUGGUGUGUCGGGCUAAAGAGCAUGGUAGCUGAUAGCAGAGACUCUUUGAAUUAGCGCCCUUGGAGAAGCGGAAUGAAACAUCCGUCCAUCCAUCAAUCCAUUUUCUUCCGCUUAUCUGGGGCCGGGUCGUGGGGGCAGCAGUCUAAGCAGGGAUGCCCAGACUUCCCUCUCCCUAGACACUUCCUCCAGCUCUUCCGGGGGGACACCAAGGCGUUCCCAGGCCAGCCGAGAGACAUAGUUCCUCCAGCGUGUCCUAGGUCUACCCCCGGGGUCUCCUCCCGGUUGGACAUGCCCGGAACACCUUCCCGGGGUUGGGGCUCGUAUGCGAGCGCCUGGUGGUCGGGCCUCCCCCCAUGGGGUCCGGCCGUGCUCAGCCAGAAGGAGCGACGUGGGGCCACCCUCCCGUGGACCCACCACCUGCAGAAGGGACCGUAAGGGGCCGGUGCAAAGUGUAUCGGGCGGCAGUCGAAGGCAGGGGCGGAAUCUAUUUCAGACAGUUCACUUAAUAUAGCUUUAUAUUAAUAUAAUUCAUAUUGAUGUAUAACAUAUAUUUGACAUACCUUAUAUACAUUUCUGACCACUUUUUAGCAUGUUUUUAAAUGAUUUUAUUGUGGUGGGGAUUAUGAAGUCUGCCUUAAGUAUGUAUUUAACUUAAUUUUUUUCUUAUUAAUAGCCUAUAAACAAGUUUACAUACAAAAAAGGCAUUGAAUAAACAAUAUUAGGCAGACAUAAUAGCAAUUACAAUAUGUAACAAUGCGUUUUUACAUUAAGUCAACAAUCAUUAAUAGCAAUAACGGAUUUUUUUUUAUUAAGAUAUAAUCAAAUUAACUUUAUUCUUUAUAUUUUCAAAGUGCAAUGUGUAGUCAUCAUUGACAUCGCGUUGAAGUGACGCUAAAGGGGGCGAGGAUGUGCCAUUUCACUUCUUUUAAUUCCUCCGUCCUCGCUUCUUUUCUUUGUUCCCUUCCCUCAUAUCCUGAAGGGGUGGAGCAUGCGUAACUUUUUUUUGUUUCUUAAAUUUUUAUAUAAUUUUUUAUAAAAAUAAGGCAAUUACAUUUUAAAAUAAAAUUUCUAAGAAAAACAAGUGCACAAACGAAACAAAAAAGGAACUGCAUUUAGAAAUACACCCAUCCAAUUACAAAAUGAAAGAUAAAUAAAUAAAAUAAGAUACAAAGAUAGGGAAAUAAAUCUAUUAACCUACAUAACACCAGGGUCUUCUAAAAACUCAAAUUAUUCAACCAAUUUAAAUAGUUUCCUUCCGACUUUCGGUUUAAUUUUACUUGAAGAUUUAAAGUAAAUCCAAAAUUCAUUUUGAAAGAUCAAAAACAAUGGUUUUGUUUUAAGGCACUUACACUUAUGAAUAUCUAAUUUCCCCAAAAUAAGGAUAUUGUUUAUCAAAAAUCCAAAGUUUAACUCUUUCAUAAUAACUCCAAAAAGUAUAUCACUUUUGGAAAAAGCCAACAGAUCAAUAGAAUUCUUCAGCCACUCAUACAAAUCAGACAGAAAAGCUCUACUGUAUUCACAAUCUUUGCAGCGGUAGCUUGCGUUUCCGGACCUGUCGUAUUUGCGUGCGUAUGAAUCGAAGUCAGUGGAGAAAAAAGAAAGUUGUGACCGCAGAUUUUUCUGGGUCAGAGAUCGCAGACCAAAACUGGACCAAUCAACUGUGAGUAUAGUGACAUCUGACGAAAUAAAGCCACUCCGCUUUUAUCUGAGUUUAAAGUGAUAUGAGGGAAAAUCUUUUGCUUCUAAGUGUUUAUUUGUUUUGUAUAUUUAUCGAUUAUAAUUAUGUAUAAUUCAAAACAUAUUAAUAUUAUUAUUAUAUGAAUGAAUGAGGCAUUUAUAUAGCGUUUUAUUGUGUAUUGCUGUACACCCAAAGCGCUAUACAAUCAUAUGAAGGGGGUCUCUCAUCACCCACCACCAUAUGAGUUGAUAAUUCCUAUAUUAAUUAAUUAUUAUUAAACAUAGAAAUUUAAGUAUCUAUAUAUAAAGAUUUUUAAACACGAAGCAUACCUAUAUAAAUAAUUUAAGAUCCGUUGAUUCGGCAUUGAUUUAGUCAAUAGCUGCCUUCUCGAACUUUCACCGCAUCUGUGUUUAUUCCUCCCUUGUUAAAAAUCGUGUUUCAAUUUAUGACACAUUUUUCACAAUGAUCUUGAUGUUCCGUGUGAUUGGCUGUUAGCCGCACGUGUCACACUUUCAGGCGCACGCGCCUCAUCAAACUGGAAGGCUGUUAUAUAAAAGGACGCUUAAAAAAGCGGCGAUUAAAGCCGCUGACAUGAAUUAAACACCUGACAUGAAUGAACAGAACUCAUCAGUCACCGUCUGUCUGAGUUGACAGAGAAGGUUUAUAUCAAGUGUUGUGCAACAGCUGAACUUGAUCUAUACCUGGUUUGUCUCGUUUUGUCAACUGUAAAUUUCGUGCAACUGACAAAAUUUUCUUCAAAAACCCCGAUAUAAUACCCAUAUAUACCUGCGUGCUGAAUUCUGUUGUUCAUAUUUGAAUUCUGUAUUCACUGUUUACAUUACUUAAAGUGUGCAAUAGACAUUUUUCUAUUCUUAACUCAGUCACAAUGCCUCACACUUCUGCUGCAAAACCGAUUCAUGUGCAACAACGCAGCUCUGAGAUUAUCUGACCACAUCAAUGCAGUUGUGCACAUCUCUGCACUGACAUGACUCUAUGACCUCGUGCAUUCAUCUAUUGCGCUGCAGUCAGCCUACACAGCAUCCAACAUGUGUGCUCUCGCAUUUAACAAAAGAAGAAAUGACAGGAGGUCCAUCGGUUCAUCUUUCUCUUGCUCAAAGUGAGGACGUGUGUCUUUCUAUAUGCAAUGAUCUGUGUUACAAACUGAGGAGACUUUGUCUAUAGUGUAAGACAGGCUCAGCACAAAGAACAUGAUUUUACAUGAUUUUCUCAAAAAUGAAACGUCCACAAUCAUAGAUUAGUUUGAAUGAACUGUAUGCAUUUAUAUUAAGUACCUACACAACGACCAUCAAUGUGAUUAGUAUGUAAAUGUGUGUAAUAUGAAUCCCUUCAUAUAACAUCCGCCAUUGCAUUGUCAAGUGACCUGUUUGUUCAUUGUCAUUGACCUACUAACAACCGCAAAAUAGAAAUGUACUGUAAAUAAAGCAACUAC